This 68-nucleotide transfer RNA is filed under the name Marmota monax (woodchuck). RNAcentral describes it as "tRNA.Ala". The record is from RNAcentral. Lineage: Eukaryota; Metazoa; Chordata; Mammalia; Rodentia; Sciuridae.
GUGGUGGCUCAGUGGUAGAGUGCUUCCCUAGCAUGCGUGAGGCACUGGGUUCGAUUCUCAGGACCACA